Molecule: long non-coding RNA, 3616 nt
Organism: Triticum aestivum (bread wheat)
Lineage: Eukaryota; Viridiplantae; Streptophyta; Magnoliopsida; Poales; Poaceae
Exons: 7
Source: RefSeq, a predicted model, not a curated record
CUCCUCCCUCCCGCACCCACGCCUCCGCCGCGCCCAGCUCCUCCUCUAUGCCGCCUCCUCCCAUUCCCUAACCCUAUCUGCUCCCCGCGCCACGGCCUCCUCCUUCGCCCAGCCCGCCGGAUCCCCGCCGUCGUCAUCGCGUCCACACGGGAGGUGCUCUGCCUCUUCCUCCCUCCUGGUUUCGGGCUGGGCAUCACCUUCAUCGCCGGCGUGGCUCCGGUGGACUCUGGCGGGAUCCUCUCCGUCUUCUCCCUCGCCCCACGCGCGGUUCUGCUUCUCGCUGGCCACCGGGUGCAGCCUUGCAGGGGCGCAUCGGGCUGGGCUCGCGCCGCACAGCCGUGAGGAACAUAGAAGAGCACACCACCGGGCCGCACAGCAGGCAAGGAAGGAGCGCCGCCGCGGAAUGGGUAGGUCAACGCCGCAGAUUGGGGAGGAGCGCCGUCGCCGCCUGGACCAAGCUCCCUGCUCCACCGACCAAGGAUGCUCGAUUCCGGCCGCCUGCAGCACAUCAGGCCAUCCGCUAACAGCAACAAAAGGAAAAGGAUGGUGUGCAACAAAAGAAAAAAAGAUGAUGUGGAGCCUCAAGUACAAGUGAAGAAGUUAUAUUUGCGGAUAUGUCAGCAUGGCGUUAGGCUACUACCUGUGACUGUUUUACCUUGAUUUGCCAGGCAUCCCAGGAGAUGGGAGUUGCUUAUUUUGCUCUGUGGUACAUACAACAUGCGUCCUCUCGGGGAAACCUAUACCUAAUGAAAAUCUUAAAUGAAAGCUAGCUGAUGAAUUCAGGAAGCAGCUAUACAAAUCCAUCAUUGUACAUGCCGCUGAUGAAUCUGUCACUAGACGGGAAGAGACUUAAUGGUUUGUUGAGGGCGAUUUCACGCAUACAUUUCCAGAUUAGGCGCCCACAUGUGUAUGGUGGUGAGCCUGAAUUAUUCAUGGCUUCACAUGUUCUCCAUUUACAUAAAUGUUGUAGUUCCAUCAUUAUGAAAGUACUGCUUCAUAACCAGAUGUCCGUGCCCUGGUCCACGCGACGAUGCUGAACCUGGAGUAAGGUGUGUGCACCAUGCUCGAGGACAACAUCAGUGAUGUCGGGAAGGAGGAGAGGCUUGAGGCGGGCAUGCACAUGUGCGCUGGCAUCUCAAGGUGGAGGAGCGCUCAGGUGAUCACCCCGUCGUACGUGGUGGGGUUCAUGCAGGAGAGGGAUCUUGCCGUGGUAAGCUUUGUUCGGGAGAAGCUGUUGUCUGGGGUGCUCACCAAGACAUUCCUCAUGAUGAUGGACUACAACUGCGGCUUACAUUGGCUGGGAGAAUGACAUGAUGAGCAAUCUUCUGUUGGGUGAUUCACCUGAAACGCCAAAAAGAGAUGAGUCUUUUGUGAGAUGAAUCUUCUGCUGGGUGAUUCACCUGAAACGCCAUUGAGCAGCAGAACACACACAAGAGGAUCAAGCCCCAACCUAAUGGACGCUGAUCCUUCCUGCCACACCCCUGUGUCCCGUUCAACUGGUCUGGCUCAUAGGACAAGCUAUAAUAUGGAAACGGAAUGCUUUGCAAAUGCAGAGUAUCAGAUACUGGUGUUCUAUUGUUCUAUUCAUGACCCUACACAUGAUUACAAGUAUGUUGGCUAACAUGAUAGAUAGUACUACAUGUACGUCCAAUUUUCCUGCAAUUGGUUUAUUAGAUAGCCUGAGUAUUCACCAAAUUGUUCUAUACUUUAUCUUUGUCUUCCCUGAUUUUAAUUAACCCCGUUGAGCUUGUUUAUGACGUAGGCCGAGCCUUGUGUUGUGAGUAUCCCAGGCCGAAUGAUGCUUGAUCUCCUUUUAGAGGAGCUUGAGUUGCCGGCAGCCCGUUACGGUCGAAGGGACUAUUUAAAUAACACCAUGAGUUUCACCAUCAUGUUCUGGACCUCUGUUCCAAGGGAAGAAUGUCAAUUACUAAUUACUAAGUAAACAAUCCAUAGGAUCUGCAUCAUGCAAUGAAGGCAAAGCUCUGUAUUUCCCAUAUUGGUGAACAGGGGAACUUAAGAUCAAGUUAGUUUUAUUGUGUUUCAUAGAUCUUCUGCAUAUCAUAUUCUCAUGCUUAAGAAGGAAUCUUGAAUUUCCCAGAGGCUCAAAAGUUAAAUAAAAACGAUAGAGAUCAUGGUUAGAGGUUACUUUUUGUGUAGAAAUAAUAGGUUAUAUCUUCUGCUUUCUACCAGAAGAAAUGAUAAAUCAAGGUGGAUAAUAACAGGUUAUAUCACAAUAGUGAUCAAAGGGAAUAGAUAUACUUUUGCAAGUCAUCCAUGGAAUUUUAUCAGACAAAUUUAUUUUCUUCAGAUGUGUAAUCCUAUUUUUCCGAGAUAUAUGUAUUUCUUCUUGCUCAUUCUUUUGGGCUUAGGGGCAGUAGAAUAAUCAGAAUAUACCUGGAGUGUUUGUACCAUCUGCAUACACUUUAGCUCAAAAUAAUAAUGUGCUUCCUGUUACUUGCUCUGUUUUGAUAAUGUACAUACAUCAGUUGUGAUAUAUAUAAUUGGUAGCAGAUAAACAAUAUUAGUUUUCCAGUGAAUGAUUUUAGAUUCUUCCAUGAAAGCAUCUCCCCCCUUUUUUCGGUUUUUAUUUCAUGAAAUGAGUUACGAUGACUGUCGUGAUAUAUUUCUUCUCUUAAUAUUUAUUACCAUGAACUAGAGUAUCCAGUGUGUGUAGUUGUAUACCACCUUUUUAGAAAAGAAUCAUAAAUUGCUACUAUACAUUUAUCAGGGUGUGUAGCAUCAGAUCUACACCUUGCAGAAAACAACUCAAGGAGUAAUGCUAAAAUAUUUGUCACUUCUGGUUCAGUCCAGGGGUAAAUUAAAUAUGUAAAGUUCGUCGUGCAAUUUAGAUUGUUAAUUGGAUUAUAUGCAUGAUGAUAUCUCUUCUAUUUUUUUGGUCAAAUACCUUGAGCCGAGGAUAUUAUUAUGACAGGCUUAGCAUUAGUGCAGUGCGGAAGUAACUGUUCUUAGAUUCUCAUGCUAACAAUAAUAUAUUUUGAUCGUUUUCUAUGGUUGAGAAGAUAUAUAUGGUCAAUGCAAGAUUGAAUUUAUUUAUUUGUGGAUACUGGCAGCGCACAUGUCGAUGUUCGGCAGGGUAUCGACAUCUGCGGUUUCACCAUCUCUGCACCAUCCCGAGGUCUUGCAUCUGCUUCUCCUUCUCGGCAGAAGAUGGUAGUCGGUCAAAUAUCUGUAGCCCCUAUGUGUGGUUGUUCAGCAGGGUAUCGCCAACAACGAUUUCCCCAUCUCUGCAUCAUCUUGAGAUUAUAUGGUGGAAAGAGGAGGCAUAGAGGGGGGGUGUAGUGGGAAGAAGAGAGGGUGAGAGAGGAGGAAGUGGAGACCCUGCCGGCGUAUUGGUGAAAAACCACCUCCCUGACUUUCUACACCAUGGGUUAUCAUCUAAAAUUGAUUUUUAGAGGAAUCAGGACAUGUUCUUUUUUCCUUUCCACAGUUUCUCAUCUAAAAUGGAUUUUUAGAGGAAUCAGGAUCUGGUUCCUGGACCAUUUGCUAUGUACUGAAUGUGUAUGUACCAAUGCAAUGCUUCUGAUAGAAAUUUGAUAUAUUAGAUUGACAAACAUAACUAAAUUAUACAAUUUUUUUUAUAUUUGCAAUGAUUCAA